This 563-nucleotide ribosomal RNA is filed under the name Pseudomonas aeruginosa. RNAcentral's name for it is "bacterial SSU rRNA". It matches the Rfam family "Bacterial small subunit ribosomal RNA", at positions 134 to 692 of the family's 1533-position model. Lineage: Bacteria; Pseudomonadati; Pseudomonadota; Gammaproteobacteria; Pseudomonadales; Pseudomonadaceae. The record is from RNAcentral.
UAGUGGGGGAUAACGUCCGGAAACGGGCGCUAAUACCGCAUACGUCCUGAGGGAGAAAGUGGGGGAUCUUCGGACCUCACGCUAUCAGAUGAGCCUAGGUCGGAUUAGCUAGUUGGUGGGGUAAAGGCCUACCAAGGCGACGAUCCGUAACUGGUCUGAGAGGAUGAUCAGUCACACUGGAACUGAGACACGGUCCAGACUCCUACGGGAGGCAGCAGUGGGGAAUAUUGGACAAUGGGCGAAAGCCUGAUCCAGCCAUGCCGCGUGUGUGAAGAAGGUCUUCGGAUUGUAAAGCACUUUAAGUUGGGAGGAAGGGCAGUAAGUUAAUACCUUGCUGUUUUGACGUUACCAACAGAAUAAGCACCGGCUAACUUCGUGCCAGCAGCCGCGGUAAUACGAAGGGUGCAAGCGUUAAUCGGAAUUACUGGGCGUAAAGCGCGCGUAGGUGGUUCAGCAAGUUGGAUGUGAAAUCCCCGGGCUCAACCUGGGAACUGCAUCCAAAACUACUGAGCUAGAGUACGGUAGAGGGUGGUGGAAUUUCCUGUGUAGCGGUGAAAUGCGUA